RNAcentral lists this ribosomal RNA (247 nucleotides) under uncultured prokaryote. RNAcentral describes it as "partial 16S ribosomal RNA". It matches the Rfam family "Bacterial small subunit ribosomal RNA", at positions 439 to 700 of the family's 1533-position model. The record is from RNAcentral.
UUAAGGAAGAAGAUAUGGCCGUUCCUUCGGGAGUAAGCAUCUCCCAACUCCGUGCCAGCAGCCGCGGUAAGACGGGGGAUGCAAGUGUUAUCCGGAUUUACUGGGCGUAAAGCGUCUGCAGGUGGUUUCUUAAGUCUACUGUUAAAUCUUGAGGCUCAACCUCAAAUCUGCAGUAGAAACUAGGAGACUUGAGUAUAGUAGGGGUAGAGGGAAUUUCCAGUGGAGCGGUGAAAUGCGUAGAUAUUGG